UAUUGGACAAUGGGCGAAAGCCUGAUCCAGCAAUACCGCGUGUGUGAAGAAGGCCUUAGGGUUGUAAAGCACUUUCAAUUGGGAGGAAAACCUGCCGGUCAAUACCCGGUAGCUUGACAUUACCUUUAGAAGAAGCACCGGCUAACUCCGUGCCAGCAGCCGCGGUAAUACGGAGGGUGCGAGCGUUAAUCGGAAUUACUGGGCGUAAAGCGUGCGUAGGCGGUUCGUUAAGUCAGAUGUGAAAGCCCUGGGCUCAACCUGGGAACUGCAUUUGAAACUGGCGGACUAGAGUUUAGUAGAGGGGAGUGGAAUUUCAGGUGUAGCGGUGAAAUGCGUAGAUAUCUGAAGGAACACCAGUGGCGAAGGCGACUCCCUGGACUAGAACUGACGCUGAGACGAA
This 400-nucleotide ribosomal RNA is filed under the name uncultured bacterium. RNAcentral's name for it is "bacterial SSU rRNA". It matches the Rfam family "Bacterial small subunit ribosomal RNA", at positions 362 to 757 of the family's 1533-position model. The record is from RNAcentral.